RNAcentral lists this transfer RNA (77 nucleotides) under Puniceicoccaceae bacterium. RNAcentral's name for it is "tRNA-Arg". It matches the Rfam family "tRNA". From Rfam's summary of the family: Transfer RNA (tRNA) molecules are approximately 80 nucleotides in length. Their secondary structure includes four short double-helical elements and three loops (D, anti-codon, and T loops). Lineage: Bacteria; Pseudomonadati; Verrucomicrobiota; Opitutia; Puniceicoccales; Puniceicoccaceae. The record is from RNAcentral.
GUGGGUGUAGCUCAGCUGGAUAGAGCAUCGGUUUUCUAAACCGGCGGUCGGGGGUUCAAGUCCCUCCGCCCAUGCCA